This is a long non-coding RNA of Sebastes umbrosus (honeycomb rockfish), 861 nucleotides long. RefSeq lists it as uncharacterized. The record is from RefSeq and is a predicted model, not a curated record. NCBI's taxonomy places the organism in Eukaryota, Metazoa, Chordata, Actinopteri, Perciformes, Sebastidae. The transcript has 2 exons.
GGGCUCCUGAUGGCACAUGUGAAACACAACCUUAAAAUAUCACACACACUAAGACUAACUAACGCCCUGUGAGUGUAUCAAAACAGUGUAAAAACAUGCAGUCCGUGCUAUCUAUCCACCGUCCAGUUUGCAGGCCAUUUUAUUUGGAUAAACUACAGGGACACAAACAACGACCACACGCUCCGCCUCUCAAGUCAAUCCAGACAAAUUCUAUGACUUGUGCUGAAGCUUUUAAGCUGUAAUUGAGCACAGGAUGCCCAGGAAAACCAAAGCCAGCUCUGGACAGACCUGCGUUUUUAUAGCUGCUAUAGUAUUCUGCUGCGCUUUUUUUUUCUCCCCCUGGCCAGACAGACACCACAAAACAGGCCAAGCGUGAUAGGAAGUCGCCACCUAAACACGGACUCAAACUCCAGCAGCUGAGGAUUUUUUCAACGACAUGGAAACAUAUAAUGUCUGUAAACAACUAAGGUGACAGAAAUGUGGGCCGACAGCCGAUGGCGACGACAGACGACCACACAUGGGCCAUGCAGAGAAACUGACCAACUCCACGGUCAAUGGGAGCACCUCUGACUCUCCAGUGGAGACCAUGCAGGUCUGCUGCUGCAGACGCCUCGUUUCCCAGGAUACCCUCUGCAGGCUGAUCCAGCAGAGUGACAAAAAGGACAUAAACGGCACUUUAGUGGGGGAUAAAUGCAAUUUUACAAAGAAAAAAAAAGAUAGAAAGGAAAAGAAAGACAGAAAUAAGUAUAAGUGUAGUGAUAGGGUUUCAACUUAAUUUGAAAAAAAGGAACACAUAAUGUAUAAACUAUAGGCUACUGCGUCAGAAAACCCUCGUCUUAAUUGCGCAUUUGAUAUUUAUGA